GUACAGUGUAACUAAAACAUUAGAACAAAUCAUGAACCUAUGUAACGUGCCCUUCUGCUCCCAGUAAGGGUGACUACCAUCACACAUGUCAAAGUCUAAAAUCACUCCACAUUGAAAUUGUAUUUUACUCAUGGUAUUUUGUGACUUCCAACUGCCAAAAUAAAUAUAGACAUAUGAUGUACUCUGUACAUCAGGGCAAAUCAAUUAGUUUAUUCUGAAU
Molecule: non-coding RNA, 220 nt
Organism: Pelobates cultripes (western spadefoot toad)
Lineage: Eukaryota; Metazoa; Chordata; Amphibia; Anura; Pelobatidae
Source: the annotation of a GenBank genome assembly